This 422-nucleotide ribosomal RNA is filed under the name uncultured bacterium. RNAcentral's name for it is "partial 16S ribosomal RNA". It matches the Rfam family "Bacterial small subunit ribosomal RNA", at positions 360 to 774 of the family's 1533-position model. The record is from RNAcentral.
AAUUUUGGUCAAUGGGGGAAACCCUGAUCCAGCCAUCCCGCGUGUAUGAUGAAGGCAUUCGGGUUGUAAAUUAAUUUUGGCAGAGAAGAAAAGGUAUCUCCUAAUACGAGAUCCUGCUGACGGAAUCUGCAGAAUAAGCACCGGCUAACACCGAGACGGCAGCUGCGGUAAUACGUAGGGUGCAAGCGUUAAUCGGAAUUACUGGGCGUAAAGCGUGUGUAGGCGGUUCGGAAAGAAAGAUGUGAAAUCCCAGGGCUCAACCUUGGAACUGCAUUUUUAACUGCCGAGCUAGAGUAUGUCAGAGGGGGGUAGAAUUCCACGUGUAGCAGUGAAAUGCGUAGAUAUGUGGAGGAAUACCGAUGGCGAAGGCAGCCCCCUGGGAUAAUACUGACGCUCAGACACGAAAGCGUGGGGAGCAAACA